ACGGUAAGGCCCUUCGGGGUACACGAGUGGCGAACGGGUGAGUAACGCGUGAGUAACCUGCCCUUCACUCUGGGAUAACAGUUGGAAACGGCUGCUAAUACCGGAUAUUCAGCUCCUGUCGCAUGGUGGGGGUUGGAAAGUUUUGGUGGUGGAGGAUGGGCUCGCGUCCUAUCAGCUUGUUGGUGGGGUGAUGGCCUACCAAGGCGUCGACGGGUAGCCGGCCUGAGAGGGCGACCGGCCACAUUGGGACUGAGAUACGGCCCAAACUCCUACGGGAGGCAGCAGUGGGGAAUAUUGCACAAUGGGCGGAAGCCUGAUGCAGCAACGCCGCGUGCGGGAUGACGGCCUUCGGGUUGUAAAGCUCUGUCUUCAGGGACGAUAAUGACGGUACCCAAGGAGGAAGCCACGGCUAACUACGUGCCAGCAGCCGCGGUAAUACGUAGGUGGCAAGCGUUGUCCGGAUUUACUAGGCGUAAAGGGAGCGUAGGCGGAUAUUUAAGUGGGAUGUGAAAUACCUGGGCUUAACUUGGGUGCUGCAUUCCAAACUGGAUAUCUGGAGUGUUGGAGAGGAAAGUGGAAUUCCUAGUGUAGCGGUGAAAUGCGUAGAGAUUAGGAAGAACACCAGUGGCGAAGGCGACUUUCUGGACAAUAACUGACGCUGAGGCUCGAAAGCGUGGGGAGCAAACAGGAUUAGAUACCCUGGUAGUCCACGCCGUAAACGAUGGGUACUAGGUGUAGGGGGGUAUCGACUCCCCCUGUGCCGCCGUAACACAAUAAGUACCCCGCCUGGGG
Molecule: ribosomal RNA, 792 nt
Filed under: uncultured Bacillota bacterium
Lineage: Bacteria; Bacillati; Bacillota
Description: bacterial SSU rRNA
Rfam family: Bacterial small subunit ribosomal RNA
Source: RNAcentral